Non-coding RNA from Ictidomys tridecemlineatus (thirteen-lined ground squirrel), 69 nucleotides. The record is from Rfam. Lineage: Eukaryota; Metazoa; Chordata; Mammalia; Rodentia; Sciuridae.
GGGUUUGUGGCUCAAUGGUAGAGCGCUUGCCUGGCACGUGUGAGGCACUGGGUUCUAUCCUCAGCACCA